UCCAUGACGGAAUGCAUAACGGAAUGCCUUUAGAGGCAAUCCGUUAUUUAUUCCGUCAUAAUAGAAGUCUAUGGGCUGCAAACGGAUUCGUCCUGUUUCCAUUAUGCAGGGGAGUCCUCUUCCGUUUCCGUUAUGGAAAUGGGAUGGAUCGGUUAUGAAGGCCAUAGACUUCUAUUAUGACCGGAUAAAUAACGGAAUGCCUCGAAGAUAGCAUAGUCUGCCAUUCCAUACUUUGUUUUUUUGCAGUAUACCAUCAUAUAUCAACCAACAGAGGACUCUGUUAGGUUAAGGGGGUCUACUGAAUUGUGUUUUUACUUCCUGUGCCUGCUCCGAUCCAGCAUCGCCACCCUGUCCUUUUUUUCCCCGGGCUGCAGCAAGUGAUUUGUUGUUGUGGCUGCAGCUGUGACCUCCUGUAUACCACUGCAGUCAAUCAGUGGCCUCAGUGUUCUUGUGUCAUACAGCCCUGAGGCCAGCUGCAGCAGUAUACAGGACGUCACCAUGUUACAGUUCUUUGCACGUUUAUGUCUGGGUAUUUAGGGUAGAUGUAAGGUUGCGGACAAAUCUUCAGAUAACAC
Molecule: long non-coding RNA, 575 nt
Organism: Bufo bufo (common toad)
Lineage: Eukaryota; Metazoa; Chordata; Amphibia; Anura; Bufonidae
Exons: 3
Source: RefSeq, a predicted model, not a curated record